ACGACCCCCGAGCCCGUGAGAGAAACAUCGCUCAGCCCCCUUUCCCCAACGAGCUCUGGCGAUUUUGUAGGGUUCGUCCAGUGCGCCGCCACCCAGCAGCUGGCCACCGGCGCGCUCCCACGUCGCCACCGGUGGGCUUCCGCAACAUCGUCGCCGGCCGCGUCCAUCCCCUCAUCCAUCUCCAUAGCCCCGCCUCCCUCCCCUUCACUCCCCGACCACACCCAUCUCUGUUCGCCGCCGGCCGUCGCAGGAGCUCGACCACGAGGACGGGCCGCCACAGGAACUCAACCACGGCGGCGGGCCGCCACAGGAGCUCUACCCCAACACCACCUCCCGUGGUGCCGCUGCUAAUCAGCGGCAGGGAACACCAGUUAGCCACCACCGCCGGCCAGCCUCUCACCCGAGCUGCAGCACCACCGCCGGCCUUCCUAUCACCCAAUCUGCAGCACCAGCGUCGGCCUUACUCAAGAUGGAAAAGGAAAAGGCAAAUUGGGAUGCACAUCACAUAACCGUGUUUUGUGAGUUAUGCAAAGAUGAGGUGGAUAAAGGUAAUAGGCCAAAGCGUUGUUUGAACCGUAGAGGGUACAAACAUCUUGAAGAGAAGUUCUUUGAUAAGACUGGAAAAAGAUGUUCGCAGAAUCAGUUUACAAAUAAAUGGGACAUGCUGAAGAGACAAUAUGUACAAUUCAUGUUGUUGAAACAUGCGGCGACUGGGCUAGGUUGGGAUGAUGUGAAGAAAACUAUUGUAGCCGAUGAUGACUGGUGGAAAGUUCAUCUUAAGAAAAACCCGAAGCAUGCAAAGUAUAAGAAAAAGGGCUUGUCUAACUUGGAAGAAAUGCAAAGGAGGGCAAGGUCUCACCUAAGGAUGGCAAGUCUGCAAAGGAGGGCAAGGUUUCAAAAAAUGUGAAGCGCAAGGCCAAGUUUAUUGACGAGUCAGCUAAGGAGGACAAGAACCCCUUUCUACGUGAGUAUAAGGCCACACUAGGGAAUAUAAACUUAGAGAUAGCAGCUACUCAUGCUCCAACAAGUGUUGUUCCUACCAUGAAGGAAGUUCUAACUUCGAUGAAGGAGUGUGGCGCGGAAGAGGGAACUCCUUUGUAUUUCACAGCAACCGACCUUGUCCUCCAAUCGAACUAUAGAGAGUUGUUCAUGCUCAUCGAGACAAAAGAGGGGAGGCUUGAUUGGCUGAAAAGGAAACAUGAUCAAAUGAACAAAUAGUACCACACGACCUUGUCCUCCAACCGAUCUUCGUGAUAUGAAUGGAGUGGACCAGGAUACCGAUGAUGAGCCUAACAAAAGGAGGAGAAAGCUCACGCGGUUGGCAACUUUGGCAUGUCAAGUUGGAUGCAUGGGCCACAUAGGUAAUCACUAUACCAAGACCUAUCUACAAAAAGAACCAUAUAGGAUUCCAGAACAAACUGGUCAUGAAUGGGUUAUGGAGACUCUUGGUCGGAAAAGGAGUUGUUAUAGGAUGUUUAGGAUGAAUCCAAGAGUAUUUCAGUCAUUACAUAAUGUUCUAGUGUCUCAUUAUGGAUUGAAGUCAAGUAGAGAAGUAACAUCACAAGAGUCUUUAGCUAUGUUCUUGUGGAUAGUUGGUGGACCUCAAUCAUUCUCUCAAGUUGAAAAUCGUUUUUCAAGAUCAAAGGAAACAGUUCAUUGAAAGUUCAAAGAAGUAUUGAAUUGCUUGUGCAAGUUAGCAGGACAUAACAUAACACCUCGUGAUGAUUCUUUCACAACCAUGCAUGAAAGAAUUCAAGAUGAGAGGUUUUGGCCUCAUUUCAAAGGUGCCAUUGGCGCAAUAGAUGGCUGCCACAUUCCAGUUACAGUACCAGUGGAUGAGGUUGAGGUCGACAUGGAUUUCCAUCACAAAAUGUUAUGGCGGUUUGUGAUUUCGACAUGAGGUUUACUUUUGUUGUGGCUGGUUGGCCCGGUUCAGAACAUGACACAAGGAUCUUAAAUGAUAGCUUGGUCAAGUACGCAGAUAAGUUCCCUACACCUCCAGCAGGAACAUAUUACCUCGUCGACUCGGAAUAUCCAAACCGUGAAGGAUAUCUUGCUCCUUACAAAGGUCAAAUAUACCAUAUACCGGAAUUUCGUAAUGGGCAAAAACCGGUGGGAAAAUUCGAGGUGUAUAAUCAUGCUCACUCUUCACUUCGAAACGUCAUUGAACGAACAUUUGGAGUGCUCAAAGCUAAAUGGCGCAUCUUGAAGGGUAUGCCUAGUUUCAGCCCUCGUAGACAAAAAAAGAUUAUUAUUGCCUGUAUGUCAUUGCACAACUACAUUCGUGAGACCAAGUUGCCUGAUGAGGAGUUUGACAAAUGUGAUGAAGAUGAAGAUUAUGUUCCCGAUGAGGACUUGCGAGUACGGUCACUCCAAGGAGAUAGUGUUCCUGCGAGACUUGACAUCGUCGACAUGAACAAAGUUCGUGACAGGAUUGCUAACUCCUUGAUGAGCUCGAGUGGAUAGAGUUGUUGGGAUGUAGAAGUGUAUAUAAUAUUUUGCACCGCUCCUAGUAAUCUAGUUGUUGGGCUGUCGUUUCUUAAAAAUGCAAGGGUUGUAAUGUACUGAUGUAUUGAUCAAUGAUGAAAUAUUUGGGUUCAAUUGCUAGUUCA
RNA transcript from Triticum aestivum (bread wheat), 2612 nucleotides. It is a transcript of the gene named protein ALP1-like, with no coding region annotated. NCBI's taxonomy places the organism in Eukaryota, Viridiplantae, Streptophyta, Magnoliopsida, Poales, Poaceae. The record is from RefSeq and is a predicted model, not a curated record. The transcript is spliced from 5 exons.